CCUACGGGCGGCAGCAGUGAGGAAUAUUGGUCAAUGGGCGCGAGUCUGAACCAGCCAUGUCGCGUGCAGGAUGAAGGAUCUAUGAGUUGUCAACUUCUUUUAUAAGGGAAUAAACUCCGGUACGUGUAUCGUUUUGAACGUACCGUAUGAAUAAGGAUCGGCUAACUCCGUGCCAGCAGCCGCGGUAAUACGGAGGAUCCGAGCGUUAUCCGGAUUUAUUGGGUUUAAAGGGUGCGUAGGCGGCGUUUUAAGUUAGCGGUGAAAUGCUGUGGCUCAACCACGAAAGUGCCGUUAAUACUGUGGGACUAGAGAAUAGUUGAGGUAGGCGGAAUGUAUGGUGUAGCGGUGAAAUGCAUAGAGAUCACACAGAACCCCGAUUGCGAAGGCAGCUUACCAAGCCAUAUCUGACGCUGAGGCACGAAAGCGUGGGGAGCAAACAGGAUUAGAUACCCCUGUAGUC
RNAcentral lists this ribosomal RNA (460 nucleotides) under uncultured bacterium. RNAcentral's name for it is "partial 16S ribosomal RNA". It matches the Rfam family "Bacterial small subunit ribosomal RNA", at positions 338 to 795 of the family's 1533-position model. The record is from RNAcentral.